AAACUGCGAUAAGUAGUGUGAAUUGCAUUUAGUGAAUCAUCGAAUCUUUGAACGCACCUUGCACUCACUGGUAUUCCGGUGAGUACGCCUGUUUCAGUAUCAUUGAAAACACACAAUCAAAACAUUUUCUUUGGUUUGAUUGGCUUUGGGUCUAUCAAAAAGUUUGGCUUGUUUCUUACAAGCCAAGCGGCCUGAAAUAUAUUGUCUGGCUAAUUGCAUCGUUGAUGAUCGCUAUUAGACUUUGGCUUUUUUAAAUGAACUGGAGGUUGAUUAACCAGUUUUAGCUUUAGUCAAAUGGUAAUUGUAAAAAAAAUCUCGAUCUUGGCUAGGUGUUUAUAGCCGAAAAUUUUUUUUUGGCUAUAACCGAAACCAAUAUAAUCACAUUUAGUUAUCGAUCUGAAAUCAGGUGGGACUACCCGCUGAACUUAAGC
This 431-nucleotide unclassified non-coding RNA is filed under the name plant metagenome. RNAcentral's name for it is "partial contains 5.8S ribosomal RNA, internal transcribed spacer 2, and large subunit ribosomal RNA". The stretch from base 1 to 102 matches the Rfam family "5.8S ribosomal RNA", at positions 50 to 154 of the family's 154-position model. The record is from RNAcentral.